Molecule: unclassified non-coding RNA, 2319 nt
Filed under: Yarrowia lipolytica
Lineage: Eukaryota; Fungi; Ascomycota; Dipodascomycetes; Dipodascales
Source: RNAcentral
UGGGAGAAUCGCGUGAUAUCACUCCUCCACCGACACGUGAUAUCACCUCUCCGUCGACACGUGACAUGUCCCCUUCCAACCCCAACCAAACAGGCUCGGUUUCCGACUCGACUUGGAGACAGAAUCUCACCGUCUGGCUUGUGUUCAUGACCGGGUCGUAUUCGACGCGGCAACUGGUGGAUCGGAUGCACAAGAUGGACCGUUCCAAGAAGAUUGACGCCACGUGGUGGCUUCUGUUCUUUGCCACCAAUCUGUUUAUCACUUUUCCUGUCCUGUGUUUGGUCGGCGCUUUGGGGCGAUGGAAACGAGCGAGGUUGGUGGUCGAGGAGGGAGAAACGGACGAGUUGUUGGUUUAGAUGUUGUUGGUGCUGAUUUAGUGAUUGCCAAUUGGUCUGCAUCAUAUCAGAUAUCUCAAUGGAAGCCACUGUGGACCGCUCUAUGCUGUCAGUCAAGCUGUGGCUGGCGACUACGCAAAAUCGGAGAUCUGGGAUCGGAGUCCGUGUCAGUAUAUGGCAAUUCGGCGGUCGAUCAAGGACAUGUGUGUUUUGCUCAGCUCGUGCAAUCAUCAGAGGAUCCCCUAGUAAGAUCUUUUAGGGUGUGACAUCUCCCAGUGGACACUCACUAUGGUCGAAUUCACGAGUCAUGAGUCUAGGUCAUUCCCACAUUCCCAGUCACUUUCCUACCGUCUACAGUGAUUGGCUGUCUUUUCGCGUCCCCGUCCCAUUGUUCCCUGAUUCAUCACAGUCUACUAUCGGCCAUCCUCACACGUGAUCCACCAGGGGAACUUGAACUUGAACAGUACACAGACUCUUCACGACAAUCUGAGGUUCCUCUGCAUAAGAACGUCGUCAGCAGAACCUGGUUGGGUAUCAUUUGACGGUCCUGGCAAGAGCCGGAACUCUUAUCUGCUCUGGAGAACGUCUUCGCCUACUACUCGUACCCGGCUCAGGCCAAUCUUCAUGUCGGGAUUACCCACGAUCGACUUGAAGAUCAGAAUGUGGACCCAUAUAUCACCGACUGGAGUGUUUACCAUAUUCUCCGUUCGUCGCCUACUGGAACCCGUGAGACCCAUCUAGGAACACUACUGUACAGUCGACGGCAGCAAUUGGCAAAGCACUACUCAAGCAACCUCAGUGGGGAGGAACCCCCAUUUCGGAUAAGACAGUCGCACAGCGCAGCCAAAGACGAAAGGGUGCACCAACAAAAUGACUUUCCUUGAACUGUGGCGAAGGCAAUGGAUCAACCAACGUAUUCGCGCCAGGCGAAUCCACAAUUCAGCAUCCCGAUUCGGAGAAAAGGUCACGGCAAAAACCCCAUGGUGCAUAAUAACACCAGAACACCCCUACAGUAGAGGAUGAGCAACUUGAAUCGACAACAGCCAUUGCCAACCAGGAAAGUGAAAAAAACAAUACCAAUUGCUUAUAUCAUAUUCCCCGAGGGCUUCACUGCCAAAGAAGGCGCUUUUGGUGUGUUGGAGAGUUACCCUAUCGCAUGACUACAUUUCUCAGAGUGUGGUUCUAGAUCGCCCCGCUGUUUGUACGCCUCCAGAAUAAGUGGUUCUCCAACUCGGCAAUGAAACCAGCCCCGACGACAAAAACAGGGCCUCUGCGAACCGUGCUCUCCAUCGUCUGGUUCUGGACUCCCGCUCUUGUUGCUUUCAUGGUGACGUUCCAUCUUUUUUCGUGAAACACGAGAUCGACAAGACCCGGAUCGCAGAAUGGCUCCUGUGGACUCCACAAAUGGUUCGAUUGGAUGCACCACCUAUUCUCAUCGUGUAACGCGAUCAUCUAUGCUCCCGGAAUAUGGACGUUGGUGUGGAUAUGCCAGGACCACCUUAAACAACUGAAGAGAUGACACGAUGAGAGCCGAAACGAAAUUGAGGAGAGACAAUGGGCCAAGCUGGAGGCACAUCCCGAGUCGGAGAUGAGACAGGAUACGUUUGAUCUACUCGGGGACGAGUAGUGUGGCAGAGUAUCAUUCAAAACCAGUACAACAGAACGAGCUCAGGGGUCCAAUUGCAGAGUUCGACGAGUCUUGGACUUGGCUGGAGUCGGACAUGCAAAACGGGGGUUCAACGCUGUUUCAACAAACUCGCUGAAACCUCGUCGAGGAGAAAGCCCAAGCCAGCAUAGCGAGCCACUAGACGUAUGGUAUGUACCACAGCCACCCAGACAAAUGGAAACAAGUCCGUACCGUCCGUACCGGAAUCCAAUCCAGAGAUUAUGACUCUUUUGCCAAGCCCUAGAAACCUCUUGUCAUCUCUGAGGGCAAUGGGAUACUGAUAGACCUCUUCUCAUUUUUCCCAUUCUGAAGAUCUAU